RNAcentral lists this ribosomal RNA (207 nucleotides) under uncultured bacterium. Its description in RNAcentral is "partial 16S ribosomal RNA". It matches the Rfam family "Bacterial small subunit ribosomal RNA", at positions 568 to 774 of the family's 1533-position model. The record is from RNAcentral.
CGUGUAGGCGGCCGAUCAAGUCGGGUGUGAAAGCCCUCGGCUCAACCGAGGAAUUGCACCCGAUACUGAUUGGCUAGAGUCCGGGAGGGGGUAGCGGAAUUCCCAGUGUAGCGGUGAAAUGCGUAGAUAUUGGGAAGAACACCAGUGGCGAAGGCGGCUACCUGGACCGGAACUGACGCUGAGGCGCGAAAGCUAGGGGAGCGAAUG